GAUGCCAUCAGAUGCAGAAUAUAAGUAAAGUUUGGCAGAAGUUCAAGGGGCCUGGAUUUUAAAUUUAUAAAGGCUCUGUAAAUUUCUUUGAAUACACUACGAAGAAUGAUUACACCUAACUCAAAAUCAUAAUUGAAGCGAUAAUAGAAUCUUCUCACCUACAGGAUGUUCUUCAGCUGUGCACAAGCUGCAUGCGUGUUCCAGUGUAGUGAAUUAUUUUAAUUGCUCUUGACAAAUUAAGAUGCACUCUCUCAUUGAGUCAGUUAGCUACAGCAGAUUGGCUGAAAAUGACAGACGACGUGAUAAUGAUAGCUAAGAGAUUAGGCAUAUGAGAAAGGUUCUUUAAAACAUACCCUGCAACUACUUUACGUCACAGCAGCCUUUCUUGUCACUGUGAGGUUUAUUAAUCAACACAGACACAAAGAAACAUCCUUCAUAAAUGAAAAGUGUGGAAGCUACCUGUUCCUCCAGAACUCUAUAGGACUGUUAACAGGCAAUCUCUGUGUCUCACACAUUUACUGUGGAGUUUUUCUCCAGAGCAAUCAAUACCUUGGUCUGCUUUCCAACUGCAAAAUAUUACAUGUAUCUUCAUACUUCGAAUCUGAGAGUAACACUAAGCUUCUGUGUGCAUGGUCUGUAGAUGUUCCAUCAACAACAAGAAGGCAAACAAGAAAAUCAUGACAGUUGUGUCCAACCACAAAUCUUUUGGAUAGAUGAAAUCUGUGCAAAAAGAAGGCUCUGAACAAAAAACAAAAACAAAAAACAAAGACAAAAAACAAAAUAAAAAUAAGUCACA
Molecule: long non-coding RNA, 796 nt
Filed under: Cyanistes caeruleus (blue tit)
Lineage: Eukaryota; Metazoa; Chordata; Aves; Passeriformes; Paridae
Description: lncRNA (ENSCCEG00000003498.1)
Source: RNAcentral